RNAcentral lists this transfer RNA (87 nucleotides) under uncultured archaeon. RNAcentral describes it as "tRNA-Ser(cag)". It matches the Rfam family "tRNA". From Rfam's summary of the family: Transfer RNA (tRNA) molecules are approximately 80 nucleotides in length. The record is from RNAcentral.
UGCGGGAGUCCGAUAGCGGCAAUUCGGCCAGGUUCAGGGCCUGGUGGCUUAGUGCCUCCGCAGGUUCGAGUCCUGCCUCCCGCAACC